Molecule: long non-coding RNA, 1312 nt
Filed under: Anas platyrhynchos platyrhynchos (common mallard)
Lineage: Eukaryota; Metazoa; Chordata; Aves; Anseriformes; Anatidae
Description: lncRNA (ENSAPLG00000018041.1)
Source: RNAcentral
CACUUACUGUGCUUGGAUGCUGGAUUGAAUCCUAAAAUAACAAUAUGCAUCGAUGUAAAGGCUGACGCAUCAGUGAGGGCAGUGUACCAGUGGGUGUGAGACUGCUGCAAACAAAAAUCUGCUUUGUUUCACCCUAGCUUAAGCAAAGGGCCAAGGGUUCAGGCAACUGGGAAGAAUGAAUUGGUUCUAACAGGGCUGUCAGCCCGGAUAAGCAAUCAGAUAUUUAAAGCGGUAAUGUUAUGAGUACAUGUAUCAAAACUGACUAGUAAAUGGAGUCACUUGUGGCAUCUAGGUGCAGUGAUAACGGUCUGGCAAAUGCACUAGACAGAUAAGAUGCAUCAGAUAGGUGUCCUUACUUUACACUCUAUUUGCCUACGAUAAAACCUUCCAUCUUCAAAUGACUGUCAGGGAGUCUUAGGCUGAAUUUUCUGCUCCUUUCAAGCAGGUUCUUUAGGAUGAAAGACAGCUGAUUUUAGCAAAUGUUUCUGUUGAACAUUUCUGAGCUGUGAGUUGUCUUUAUUAUAGUUUGAUUCUUGUUGAACAGAAAGCAGAAUUCAGCGGAAACCUGUUCCUUGCUAAAAUGCCGUGGUGUCAUGUUUGCUGAGGAGGUGAUACCCAGGUCCUUUCUGAACGGUUCCUGACUGGAGCAGCAAGAAAUGAGGCAGCUGGAUUUCACAGAGUUUUGGUAACCUUGGAGAAACAAGUUACAGCAACCAUCAGCCCAGGCGACAAAUUUGCAAGCAGGCCAGGGUGUAAGCGGGAGGAUCUGAUCUGAGGGAGGACAAAAGACUCAGCUCACGCUGCAGAGCGCUGUGGCUGAUCCUUUUGUAUGCAAGACCAGCAGACUUGCCUGAAACAGGAACCUUGGAGGUAAAUCAGGCUAAUGAAGCAGCUCAGAGAGGCAAUGUGCAUUAUUUGUAUCCCACAAUGAUUUUAAAGUCAACACACAUACAGUACCGAGUAUUUUGAAGCCUAAGAUACCUGUAGGAGAUCCAAGAGAAGGCGGUUCAUCUAGUCUCCUCAGUGCUUUCAUUUAGCUGAUAGCAAUUAGCUCUCUUUUCAUAGUGAGGAAUACAGGAACCAUUUCACUCUCUGGAUAAAUUUUAUCUAGGCAAGAAAUUAUGUUAUGACAGUUGCUAUCCGUGAUGCUAAAAUGCUUUUAUUAGGACAAUUACAGCUCUUUUUUACUCCAGGCUGAAAGAGAAAGUGAAAAGCUAGCUUUGCUAGAGAGAAGGCAGUUUGUUAGGAAUGGCCUUUUGCUGCAAAAAGAUCAGGGUCUUCUGGAUUAAUCUUUGGAUUAUAUAGAUUUUCC